RNAcentral lists this ribosomal RNA (481 nucleotides) under uncultured bacterium. RNAcentral's name for it is "partial 16S ribosomal RNA". It matches the Rfam family "Bacterial small subunit ribosomal RNA", at positions 28 to 507 of the family's 1533-position model. The record is from RNAcentral.
GAUGAACGCUGGCGGCGUGCUUAACACAUGCGAGUCGAACGAAGCACUUUAUUUGAUUUCCUUCGGGACUGAUUAUUUUGUGACUGAGUGGCGGACGGGUGAGUAACGCGUGGGUAACCUGCCUUGUACAGGGGGAUAACAGUUGGAAACGGCUGCUAAUACCGCAUAAGCGCACGGCAUCGCAUGAUGCAGUGUGAAAAACUCCGGUGGUAUAAGAUGGACCCGCGUUGGAUUAGCUAGUUGGUGAGGUAACGGCCCACCAAGGCGACGAUCCAUAGCCGACAUGAGAGGGUGACCGGCCACAUUGGGACUGAGACACGGCCCAAACUCCUACGGGAGGCAGCAGUGGGGAAUAUUGCACAAUGGGCGAAAGCCUGAUGCAGCGACGCCGCGUGAGCGAAGAAGUAUUUCGGUAUGUAAAGCUCUAUCAGCAGGGAAGAUAAUGACGGUACCUGACUAAGAAGCACCGGCUAAAUACGUG